RNAcentral lists this ribosomal RNA (458 nucleotides) under Escherichia coli. RNAcentral's name for it is "partial 23S ribosomal RNA". It matches the Rfam family "Bacterial large subunit ribosomal RNA", at positions 613 to 1071 of the family's 2925-position model. The record is from RNAcentral. Lineage: Bacteria; Pseudomonadati; Pseudomonadota; Gammaproteobacteria; Enterobacterales; Enterobacteriaceae.
UAAUGGGUCAGCGACUUAUAUUCUGUAGCAAGGUUAACCGAAUAGGGGAGCCGAAGGGAAACCGAGUCUUAACUGGGCGUUAAGUUGCAGGGUAUAGACCCGAAACCCGGUGAUCUAGCCAUGGGCAGGUUGAAGGUUGGGUAACACUAACUGGAGGACCGAACCGACUAAUGUUGAAAAAUUAGCGGAUGACUUGUGGCUGGGGGUGAAAGGCCAAUCAAACCGGGAGAUAGCUGGUUCUCCCCGAAAGCUAUUUAGGUAGCGCCUCGUGAAUUCAUCUCCGGGGGUAGAGCACUGUUUCGGCAAGGGGGUCAUCCCGACUUACCAACCCGAUGCAAACUGCGAAUACCGGAGAAUGUUAUCACGGGAGACACACGGCGGGUGCUAACGUCCGUCGUGAAGAGGGAAACAACCCAGACCGCCAGCUAAGGUCCCAAAGUCAUGGUUAAGUGGGAAAC